AAAGGAAUAGACGGGGGCCCGCACAAGCAGCGGAGCGUGUGGUUUAAUUCGAGGCUACACGAAGAACCUUACCUAGGUUUGCAUGGUAACGAACGAGGGUGAAAGCCUGAGGUUCGCAAGACGUUACCACUGGUGCUGCAUGGCUGUCGUCAGCUCGUGUCGUGAGAUGUUAGGUUAAGUCCUGUAACGAGCGCAACCCCCGGAAGUAGUUACACGUAGUCUACUUCAACUGCCUGCGCAAGUGGGAGGAAGGUGGGGAUGACGUCAAGUCAGCAUGGCCUGUAUAUCUAGGGCUACACACACGCUACAAUGGUCGGUACAACAGGUUGCCAAGCCGCAAGGCGGAGCUAAUCCUCUAAAGCCGAUCUCAGUUCAGAUUGUGGGCUGCAACCCGCCCACAUGAAGUCGGAGUUGCUAGUAACCGUGCGUCAGCUAUAGCGCGGUGAAUACGUUCCCGGGCCUUGUACACACCGCCCGU
Molecule: ribosomal RNA, 478 nt
Filed under: uncultured bacterium
Lineage: Bacteria
Description: bacterial SSU rRNA
Rfam family: Bacterial small subunit ribosomal RNA
Source: RNAcentral